Molecule: ribosomal RNA, 660 nt
Filed under: Triticum aestivum (bread wheat)
Lineage: Eukaryota; Viridiplantae; Streptophyta; Magnoliopsida; Poales; Poaceae
Description: partial small subunit ribosomal RNA
Source: RNAcentral
AUGAAUAUUUCCCUCCUCUCUCGAUGGCUCUGGCGCAUCUCACAAGGGCACAUCGGCCUUUGGUUAGAUAUCAUCCGAAACAAGUACCUGCGUGGGCAACCCCUGGCCUUCUUUCAACGGUCUGGCGGAUCCCAAUUUUGGCAGUUGGUCAUCCAACUGCUCCCCGUUCUCCGCAUUGGGACUUACAUUUCGUUUGUAUCGGGAUCUGCGACUUUGUUCUGGUUUGACCGAUGGGCGGGGGACACCCCCUUCGCGGCUCGAUUCCCCGACCUCUUCUCCAUUGCUGUCGUCCCCUCGAUUUCAGUUGAGAGGGCCCUUAUUGACUUAGGGCGCCUCGCGUUCCGGAGGCCAUUUGGGCCUCCGGAAGCCGCCGCCUGGCAGGAGCUGCUUGAUUGCGUCGCUCUACACGAGCCGUUUGUUGAUGCUGAUCCGGAUGAGGUCCGAUGGCGUCUUGAGCCAUCAGGCCAAUUCUCCACCAAGUCCCUCUAUAUGGCCAUUGCCCCCUCCUCCGCCCCUCCCCCCUUCGUGGUGUGGGCCAUUCGCCUGCCUCUGAAAAUCCGGAUCUUCAUGUGGCAAUGGAUCCGCGGAGGGCUACGUCUGGGGUGGAGGUCCGCAAGCGCAAUGGUCCUGGCUCCGGCCUAUGCCCGCUGUGUGGUAUGA